Molecule: ribosomal RNA, 253 nt
Filed under: uncultured bacterium
Lineage: Bacteria
Description: partial 16S ribosomal RNA
Rfam family: Bacterial small subunit ribosomal RNA
Source: RNAcentral
UACAGAGGUCUCAAGCGUUGUUCGGAUUCAUUGGGCGUAAAGGGUGCGUAGGCGGCGCGGUAAGUCGGAUGUGAAAUCCCUGGGCUCAACCCAGGAACUGCGUCCGAUACUGGAAGGCUUGAAUCCGGGAGAGGGAUGCGGAAUUCCAGGUGUAGCGGUGAAAUGCGUAGAUAUCUGGAGGAACACCGGUGGCGAAGGCGGCAUCCUGGACCGGUAUUGACGCUGAGGCGCGAAAGCCAGGGGAGCAAACGGG